CACGUAGGGGGCGAGCGUUGUUCGGAAUCAUUGGGCGUAAAGGGUGCGCAGGCGGCAUGCCAAGUCUGGUGUGAAAGAUCCCGGCUCAACCGGGGAGACGCACUGGAAACUGGCGUGCUGGAGUACAGGAGGGGGAGUUGGAAUUCCAGGUGUAGGGGUGAAAUCUGUAGAUAUCUGGAAGAACACCGGUGGCGAAGGCGAACUCCUGGCCAUGUACUGACGCUGAGGCACGAAGGCGUGGGGAGCAAAC
RNAcentral lists this ribosomal RNA (250 nucleotides) under uncultured bacterium. Its description in RNAcentral is "partial 16S ribosomal RNA". It matches the Rfam family "Bacterial small subunit ribosomal RNA", at positions 524 to 773 of the family's 1533-position model. The record is from RNAcentral. RNAcentral also lists the same sequence under 1 other name.